Astyanax mexicanus (Mexican tetra) is the source of this 249-nucleotide long non-coding RNA. RefSeq lists it as uncharacterized. The record is from RefSeq and is a predicted model, not a curated record. The transcript has 3 exons. Lineage: Eukaryota; Metazoa; Chordata; Actinopteri; Characiformes; Acestrorhamphidae.
CUUGCCUGCUUUUGGACCUUGUCCUCUGACUUGCCCAUGGUUAGUAUUGCUGAUCUUCAGUGUAUGAUCUUCUGCUUUAACCCAUCUGGGUUUGUGGUCCUCCUCUAAGUCUGUACUCAGGUGAAAGUCAAGUCAGCAACUUGCACACUUUUAGUGCAUUAGUCCUCAAGGCAGCUCGGAAAUAACCCACAUGCUCCAGUUGAACACAGAUGCAAUAAAAGGAAAUUGUGGAUAAUAGGCUACUGCUGA